AAGGGUUGGGCUGUUCGCCCAUUAAAGCGGCACGCGAGCUGGGUUUAGAACGUCGUGAGACAGUUCGGUCCCUAUCCGCCGCGCGCGUAGGAGACUUGCGGAAGGCUGUCCCUAGUACGAGAGGACCGGGACGGACGAACCUCUGGUAUGCCAGUUGUCACGCCAGUGGCAUGGCUGGUUAGCCACGUUCGGAAGGGAUAACCGCUGAAGGCAUCUAAGCGGGAAGCCUGUUCCUAGAUGAGGUCUCCCACCCCUUUGUGGGUUAAGGCCCCCAGCAGACCACUGGGUUGAUAGGCCAGAAAUGGAAGCACAGCAAUGUGUUCUCGAGUUGACUGGUACUAAUAGGCCGAGGACUUGCCCAC
Molecule: ribosomal RNA, 362 nt
Filed under: Amycolatopsis arida
Lineage: Bacteria; Bacillati; Actinomycetota; Actinomycetes; Pseudonocardiales; Pseudonocardiaceae
Description: Pseudonocardiaceae bacterium RA45 Bacterial large subunit ribosomal RNA
Rfam family: Bacterial large subunit ribosomal RNA
Source: Rfam by way of RNAcentral